UGAGAUCCCAUAUGUAACAGGAUGGAGUCUGGUCCAGUGUUACUGGGAGCACCCACAGCCCUCUGAUUUCACCAGUUCCCUAAUAUAGUCAACCAAAAAAAAUCUCAGAGAGAUGCUGAGAUACAGAGUUCCUGAACGCCACAUGAACUUGUGCACUUCAAAAAAUCAAAAUCAGGUCAAGGUGUCAAGCUCUUACUUGGUGCUUUCUGAGUCUAUGUCCUGACAUCUCUGCACGUCUCAGUGUUAGACCAGAGAGCUUUCAGCAGAAUUACUCCUUCCUAACAGGAGAAAUCUGAAGUGUUGUGAUAUCAGACUGCAUUUACCAUAUGCCACAUUUAAAUGCAGAAGUUUUCAUUGGCCCAGCACUGAUCUGAAACAUGCUAAGCCUUUGGAAGGAAAAUAGAGAAAGAGAAAGAGAGAAAAAGAGAAGGGAAAACAACCUCAUCCCUCUAACAAGUUACCUUACGAGCAACCAGCUUCCAGGAUCCUGGCAGACUGGGAGCUCUUCUAGGGGAGAGAAGGGGGUGCUGACCUGCACAUGAAAUGCAGUCCAUCACAUGGCAGUGCUGUUUACCAUUCAUAUUCUACUCCUGUAUGGUUAGGAAAAACCACAGACACUGAAGUUGCUCUUUGUCAGCAUGUUUCUGUUCCUGCAAGUGACCAUCAUCAAAGAGCUCUGCCAGCAGCUAAAGCAAUGAACAAGAAAGAACUACCAAUAAUCCCAGCCUCUGUAGUUUUCCCUUAAACAGCUUUGACAGGACUUGUUGAACAGACAAGAGAGCCCUGAAACUUUCAAAUGAAAGCAGAAAUACAAGCAAAACUGUCAAACUUCAUUUGAGUUAACACGUCUAAUAAAUAUUGUGACCAGAAAUACUUUUCCAGAAAUGCAGGCAUGAGACUAAAUACAUAACUGAAAGACAUUGCUCCUGGACUGUAACCCCAGCUCUGCCACUGACACUUUCAGUGAUUUCAUUUUUGGUAUUUAUCCCUUGGUCACACCACCUUCCCUACUGGCAAAUGAACACGAGGAUACUGAAUUUCCUGGGUGAGGCUGAGGCAAGCGUGUGUGUUCUGACAUCUGACAUAUUUUACUUGUGUAAAAUAAUCAAUAUGUUACCCACAUGUUGAUUCCUGUCUCCAUUUUGCUAGUGCCAGCAACUCUGCUAUUUAUUUUAAUUGAGGAACUUCAUACUCCUUUUUCCAUGGGUUCCCAAACUGUACUACACCUCGUGGGAAGCUGCUUCUAAUAAACGCCUGUAAAUCCAUCUCAUUCUUGAUUUAAAUUCCUACAUCACAGCA
This is a long non-coding RNA of Onychostruthus taczanowskii (white-rumped snowfinch), 1299 nucleotides long. RefSeq lists it as uncharacterized. The record is from RefSeq and is a predicted model, not a curated record. The transcript has 3 exons. Lineage: Eukaryota; Metazoa; Chordata; Aves; Passeriformes; Passeridae.